CAGCCGCCACGGGAAUACGUAGGGCGCAAGCGUUAUCCGGAAUUAUUGGGCGUAAAGAGCUCGUAGGCGGUUUGUCGCGUCUGCCGUGAAAGUCCGGGGCUCAACCCCGGAUCUGCGGUGGGUACGGGCAGACUAGAGUGAUGUAGGGGAGACUGGAAUUCCUGGUGUAGCGGUGAAAUGCGCAGAUAUCAGGAGGAACACCGAUGGCGAAGGCAGGUCUCUGGGCAUUAACUGACGCUGAGGAGCGAAAGCAUGGGGAGCGAACAGGAUUAGAUACCCCAGUAGUCCCUGUCUCUUAUAA
This 301-nucleotide ribosomal RNA is filed under the name uncultured bacterium. Its description in RNAcentral is "partial 16S ribosomal RNA". It matches the Rfam family "Bacterial small subunit ribosomal RNA", at positions 509 to 809 of the family's 1533-position model. The record is from RNAcentral.